GGUGGAGGUUCAUAAAUUUGGGUUUAGGAACCCUCAUAACAAUUGUUGUGGCAGUCCACAUAUGGAAGAGAACUAAAGGAAACAGAACACAGAUGGACGACAACGCUGAGGGUAGAGUGACCUAUGAAAAUGUUGAAGAACCUUCUGCUUCUGUCCAACUCCACUGAUGAACAACUUCAACAUCCAC
Anoplopoma fimbria (sablefish) is the source of this 187-nucleotide long non-coding RNA. RefSeq lists it as uncharacterized. The record is from RefSeq and is a predicted model, not a curated record. NCBI's taxonomy places the organism in Eukaryota, Metazoa, Chordata, Actinopteri, Perciformes, Anoplopomatidae. The transcript is spliced from 3 exons.